GCUGAACGUGUGAAAAAAACGCAUAACUGGACCACAGAAGAAAUCCAGGCCCUUAUAAAUUGACGCACUGAAAAUGACAGCCUCUUCACUGGAAAAAGGAACUCCUCCAAAACCGGAUGGGAUGAUUUUGUGAGAGCCUCUGGCCUGCAGGUCACCGCAAAGCAGGCCAAGAAGAAGUGGCACAAUUUGGUGCAAAAAUACAAGGUAGUAAAAAAAAAGAAAUGAACCAGCAUGUGAACAUGACUACAUCUGACCUAGGUUAGGUCAGAUGUAGUCAUGUUCAUUUAAACAUGCAGCCAGCUGUGCUGGAGCAGAAAUCUGGGCUGCCAGUCUGGCUCGGAGGCAGCUUCCAGACAGCUCCCUGUCUUCAGCCGCUGGA
This is a long non-coding RNA of Cyprinodon tularosa, 379 nucleotides long. RefSeq lists it as uncharacterized. The record is from RefSeq and is a predicted model, not a curated record. The transcript is spliced from 4 exons. Lineage: Eukaryota; Metazoa; Chordata; Actinopteri; Cyprinodontiformes; Cyprinodontidae.